Molecule: ribosomal RNA, 381 nt
Filed under: uncultured bacterium
Lineage: Bacteria
Description: bacterial SSU rRNA
Rfam family: Bacterial small subunit ribosomal RNA
Source: RNAcentral
AUUGAACGCUGGCGGCAUGCCUUACACAUGCAAGUCGAACGGCAGCGGACCUUCGGGUGCCGGCGAGUGGCGAACGGGUGAGUAAUAUAUCGGAACGUACCUUUCAGUGGGGGAUAACGUAGCGAAAGUUACGCUAAUACCGCAUAUUCUGUGAGCAGGAAAGCAGGGGAUCGCAAGACCUUGCGCUGAUUGAGCGGCCGAUAUCAGAUUAGCUAGUUGGUGAGGUAAAGGCUCACCAAGGCGACGAUCUGUAGCGGGUCUGAGAGGAUGAUCCGCCACACUGGAACUGAGACACGGUCCAGACUCCUACGGGAGGCAGCAGUGGGGAAUUUUGGACAAUGGGCGGCAAGCCUGAUCCAGCCAUUCCGCGUGAGUGAAGAA